Molecule: ribosomal RNA, 394 nt
Filed under: uncultured bacterium
Lineage: Bacteria
Description: bacterial SSU rRNA
Rfam family: Bacterial small subunit ribosomal RNA
Source: RNAcentral
GUGCCAGCCGCCGCGGUAAGACGAACUGUGCGAACGUUGUUCGGAAUCACUGGGCUUAAAGGGUGCGUAGGCGGCCCGUUAAGUCGGGGGUGAAAUACUUCGGCUCAACCGGAGAAUUGCCUUCGAUACUGGCGGGCUAGAGGAAGGUAGGGGUCGCGGGAACUGCCAGUGGAGCGGUGAAAUGCGUUGAUAUUGGCAGGAACGCCGGUGGUGAAGACGCGCGGCUGGACCUUUUCUGACGCUGAUGCACGAAAGCCAGGGGAGCAAACGGGAUUAGAUACCCCGGUAGUCCUGGCCCUAAACGAUGGGUACUAGGUAGUGGGUUCGACACGGACUCGCUGCCGAAGCAAAAGUGUUAAGUACCCCGCCUGGGGAGUAUGGUCGCAAGGCUGAA